This 253-nucleotide ribosomal RNA is filed under the name uncultured bacterium. RNAcentral's name for it is "partial 16S ribosomal RNA". It matches the Rfam family "Bacterial small subunit ribosomal RNA", at positions 524 to 776 of the family's 1533-position model. The record is from RNAcentral.
UACGUAGGGUGCUAGCGUUGUUCGGAAUCAUUGGGCGUAAAGCGCGUGUAGGUGGCGACAUAAGUCGAAUGUGAAAUCCCUGGGCUCAACCGAGGAAGUGCAUUCGAUACUGUGUUGCUCGAGGACGGUAGAGGAAGGUGGAAUUCCUAAAGUAGAGGUGAAAUUCGUAGAUAUUAGGAGGAAUACCGGCGGCGAAGGCGGCCUUCUGGGCCGUUCCUGACACUGAGACGCGAAAGCGUGGGUAGCAAACAGG